GCAAGUCGAGCGAGAAAGCACUUCGGUGUGAGUACAGCGGCGUACGGGUAGUAACGCGAAGGAAUCUAACAAGUAGUGGGGGACAACAUGUGGAAACGCAUGCUAAUACCGCAUACGCCCGACGGGGGAAAGGAGGCUUAGGCUUUCGCUAUUUGAUGAGCCUGCGUAAGAUUAGCUUGUUGGUGAGGUAAAGGCUCACCAAGGCGACGAUCUUUAGCUGGUCUGAGAGGAUGAUC
RNAcentral lists this ribosomal RNA (236 nucleotides) under uncultured bacterium. RNAcentral's name for it is "partial 16S ribosomal RNA". It matches the Rfam family "Bacterial small subunit ribosomal RNA", at positions 57 to 305 of the family's 1533-position model. The record is from RNAcentral.